AUGCACGCUGGCGGCGUGCCUCAUACCUGCCAGUCGAGCGAACGGACGAGAAGCUUGCUUCUCUGAUGUUAGCGGCGGACGGGUGAGUAACACGUGGAUAACCUACCUAUAAGACUGGGAUAACUUCGGGAAACCGGAGCUAAUACCGGAUGAUAUUUUGAACCGCAUGGUUCAAAAGUGAAAGACGGUCUUGCUGUCACUUAUAGAUGGAUCCGCGCUGCAUUAGCUAGUUGGUAAGGUAACGGCUUACCAAGGCAACGAUGCAUAGCCGACCUGAGAGGGUGAUCGGCCACACUGGAACUGAGACACGGUCCAGACUCCUACGGGAGGCAGCAGUAGGGAAUCUUCCGCAAUGGGCGAAAGCCUGACGGAGCAACGCCGCGUGAGUGAUGAAGGUCUUCGGAUCGUAAAACUCUGUUAUUAGGGAAGAACAUAUGUGUAAGUAACUGUGCACAUCUUGACGGUACCUAAUCAGAAAGCCACGGCUAACUACGUG
RNAcentral lists this ribosomal RNA (496 nucleotides) under uncultured bacterium. RNAcentral's name for it is "partial 16S ribosomal RNA". It matches the Rfam family "Bacterial small subunit ribosomal RNA", at positions 29 to 507 of the family's 1533-position model. The record is from RNAcentral.